UCCCUGGUGGCUCAGACGGUAAAGCGUCUGCCUGCAAUGCGGGAGACCAGGGUUCAAUCCCUGGGUUGGGAA
RNAcentral lists this transfer RNA (72 nucleotides) under Ovis aries (sheep). It matches the Rfam family "tRNA". Rfam says of the family: Transfer RNA (tRNA) molecules are approximately 80 nucleotides in length. Their secondary structure includes four short double-helical elements and three loops (D, anti-codon, and T loops). The record is from Rfam by way of RNAcentral. Lineage: Eukaryota; Metazoa; Chordata; Mammalia; Artiodactyla; Bovidae.